This 116-nucleotide small nuclear RNA is filed under the name Lynx canadensis (Canada lynx). RNAcentral describes it as "U2 spliceosomal RNA (ENSLCNG00005004893.1)". It matches the Rfam family "U2 spliceosomal RNA". From Rfam's summary of the family: U2 is a small nuclear RNA (snRNA) component of the spliceosome (involved in pre-mRNA splicing). Complementary binding between U2 snRNA (in an area lying towards the 5' end but 3' to hairpin I) and the branchpoint sequence (BPS) of the intron results the bulging out of an unpaired adenosine, on the BPS, which initiates a nucleophilic attack at the intronic 5' splice site, thus starting the first of two transesterification reactions that mediate splicing. The record is from Rfam by way of RNAcentral. RNAcentral also lists the same sequence under 1 other name. Lineage: Eukaryota; Metazoa; Chordata; Mammalia; Carnivora; Felidae.
AUCGCUUCUCGGCCUUUUGGCUAAGAUCAAGUGUAGAAUUUUUAUUUUAAUCAACACUACAUUUAUUGAUUACCUUGCAUUAGUUUAGCACUAAGUUUAUUACCAGAAUGAUACAU